RNAcentral lists this transfer RNA (85 nucleotides) under Felis catus (domestic cat). It matches the Rfam family "tRNA". Rfam says of the family: Transfer RNA (tRNA) molecules are approximately 80 nucleotides in length. Lineage: Eukaryota; Metazoa; Chordata; Mammalia; Carnivora; Felidae. The record is from Rfam by way of RNAcentral.
GCCUGGAUGGCUCAGCCGGUAGAGCAUCCGACUUCAGCUCAGAUCAUGCUCUCACGGCUCGUGGGUUCAAGCCCCACAUUGGGCU